GGUAAAGUGGCCGAGGUAGGCGGUGGGUUGUAAACCCAAAGACAGAGGUUGAAGCCUCUCUUUACCA
RNAcentral lists this transfer RNA (67 nucleotides) under Adelastes hylonomos (Neblina frog). Its description in RNAcentral is "tRNA-Tyr". It matches the Rfam family "tRNA". Rfam says of the family: Transfer RNA (tRNA) molecules are approximately 80 nucleotides in length. Their secondary structure includes four short double-helical elements and three loops (D, anti-codon, and T loops). The record is from RNAcentral. Lineage: Eukaryota; Metazoa; Chordata; Amphibia; Anura; Microhylidae.